GAUGAACGCUGGCGGCGUGCCUAAUACAUGCAAGUCGAGCGAACGGACGAGAAGCUUGCUUCUCUGAUGUUAGCGGCGGACGGGUGAGUAACACGUGGAUCACCUACCUAUAAGACUGGGAUAACUUCGGGAAACCGUAGCUAAUACCGUAUAAUAUUUUGAACCGCAUGGUUCAAAAGUGAAAGACGGUCUUGCUGUCACUUAUAGAUGGAUCCGCGCUGCAUUAGCUAGUUGGUAAGGUAACGGCUUACCAAGGCAACGAUGCAUAGACGACCUGAGAGGGGGAUCGGCCACACGGGAACUGAGACACGGACCAGACUCCUACGGGAGGCAGCAGUAGGGAAUCUUCCGCAAUGGGCGAAAGCAUGACGGAGCAACGCCGCGUGAGUGAUGAAGGUCUUCGGAUCGUAAAACUCUGUUAUUAGGGAAGAACAUAUGUGUAAGGAACUGUGCACAUCUUGACGGUACCUAAUAAGAAAGCCACGGCUAACUACGUG
Molecule: ribosomal RNA, 497 nt
Filed under: uncultured bacterium
Lineage: Bacteria
Description: partial 16S ribosomal RNA
Rfam family: Bacterial small subunit ribosomal RNA
Source: RNAcentral